UACCCGGUACCCGGCCCCGGCCCGGCCGCUCCGCCCGGUACCCGGUACCCGGCCCCGGCCCGGCCCCGGCUGCCCCGCCACGCUGCUCUGCCGGGCGGAAGCUGCGGCUGCUCCGCUCCCCGUGUCCGCCCCGGCGGGGCUACGGGCGCUGUGCCGGCCGCACCGCCCGGGACACGCGACCGGGAGCGGAGCCAGGGCGGCUCUCACGGGGCAGCCGGAGGAGCCCGGGCUGCGCGGGGCUGCGGGAGCCCCUGGUCCUGGCGUGGGCGCGAGCCGCCGCGCUCGGUCCCGGUCCCGGUCCUGCCGUCCCGGCGCUCCGCGCCUGCCGAGCCCCGGAGCUGCUGCUUCUGUGAGCAGCUGGGAGCUGGACUGGCGGUGGCACGCGUUACCAAACCCGACGUGACUGCCUGUUCGGACACGACCUGUCUGCACCUGGAACACCUGCCCGAGUGGAUUCCUUACACCUGUGUCACACGCUUGUCACACUUCUUCCUGAUCUCUCCCGUAGGACUUGGCGCUGUCGAACCUCUCCAAGGAAUCUGCACACACAGCUCGGAGAAUCUUUUUAAAAGAGAGAAAAGCGUCUUGCACAAACCCAGCCAGGUUUGGAUUCCCCUCGGGAGAGCAGGCGGAAAGAGCAUGUUGAGGUGCAGCCAGCUGUAUCGGUGGCUCACCUGGUGUCGGUGCCGAGAACUCCCCACAGCACUGCGGGAUCACUGCCCUGGCUUCCUGGGGUGGCCGCAGCCCUUGGCUCGGAGAGCCAGGCCCUAGAGCAGAGGGCCAGCAGGCACGGCCAGGUGCCUCAAGGUGAGCUGUGCUCGCUCUAAACUCAUCAGUCCCUGGACAGGUGCAUUUUAAUUUGUGUCUGAAGUGGAAAUAGUUUUUAGGGAGAACUCUAGAACCACAGCAGAUGCUCCUGGUGGGCUGGAGAGCAGCCAAGGGCUGCAGGGCACCUGCCAGGUGCUGUAGCCUGGCUGGGGCUAAGCUCAGCAUGCAGGUCCAUCUGCUGUGAGCUCUGUCUGGAUGUGCUUCACCCUCCUUUCAAGUCUGGGGGCUUGAGAGGGGUCAGCUCUGUUCAGAGAACCAGGCAGGCCUCAAUUAUCUCUUCUGAAUGUCUUGAGGAACUGUCACACUUUUACUUGGCAAGUCGGGUCAGCUGCCUUGGGAAGAAAACCUGAAACCUGAGGGAAUCCUGAAAUGAAUGUCACGUGUCUACUCAAUGACCUGAACUGGAAACACCUCCCUUCUUGGCAGUGCCAGCUGAGGUAUUCCUUAUCCUAAAGUCAGUUUCAGUCAGAAAAGACACAAGGUGAUGGGUUCAUUUUGUUUGGGUUUUUUUGAAGUGAAAUCUAACAAGAGUUUGCCAUUUCUUCAGAACUGAGUGUUCUGGACAGACCUAAUGAUAACGUGUGUUAACUUAUCUAAUGCGGAUUAUAGGUAACACCGGAGUAAUUAAUUAAUCCUGCUAUAUUCAAAGACACAUUUUGGAGUUUUGCUUUAUGCAAAAAUCCUCUUAUGUUCCAGCGGUCAGUAAGAAAACUACUUUCCACUACAAAUUUUGCUGAAUUACAGAAAAAUUAAUCAAAUCCUUAGAAAUUCUUGCUUGAUGAAUCCUGAUGAAAGCACAGGUGGCAACAAGUGUUGGAACCAUGGCUUGACUUUGACCCUGCUUAUGCAGGAGGCAGUUAGUUCACCAGGCUGAUGCUGCCAGAGUUCUGCCAGAGCACAGUGUAAGUGAGACCAGAUGAGAAUCUUUCAUUGUUGGUAUUCAGUGCCUAGAGAGUAGGCAUUCCUUGGGAGGUUUUUUCCAUGGUUACUUCCAAGUUCUUGCAGCCAAACUGAGCUUCCAGUCACUGAGGCAACACUUGUUCUUGUGCACUUUUCUGAGGGCUGCUGCCAGGUGCUGGUGACGGCUGCUUAGGGCUUGGACACAACUUCAGAGCUCUCCCAGGAGGAACAGUCAGGACUGGUUUUCCUCCUUUGGUAUUGUAUUUAUUCACACCAAGUCUCACCUGUCCCUCUACCUGCCAUUUUCCAGCAUUGUGAGGCUUCCCCUGGCAGUGUCACCCUGUGGCUCACUGCCUCCUCCAAACGGCACAGGGACGAGGUUUGGCACAGCCCUGCGGGAACUGCUGGUUGCUGUCAGUGAUUCAAGCAGAACGUUCCCAUGGCAGAGGGGGGAGCUGCAGGCAGAGUCAGCUGUGGUGACCAACAUGGUGGCAGGGAGGUGGCAGGGGCAAGGACUCCCCCAGGAGAGCCAGCCCAUGCCAGGGGAUCCCAGCUGAUCCAGCACGGCCGAGCACGCGGCGUAACCGCGGAGCAGCUGCCGUGCACUCGUGUGUUAGCACAGCUCCUCAGUGUAGGUUUUGCAAAAUAUUUAUUGCAAAAUAAAAGAAAUAUGGCAACAGAAUUUAAAUACCAAAUGACAAGACACUGGCCAUAAAGCUCUUGCUAUAUUAUGAAUCUUUUACAAUAAUCAAUAGUAGAAUGUGUCCCAGGGCAGCUGCACGUGGACAGCCCUGUGUCUCUGGCUCCAGCCACCCGCAGUCUGUGGGACUUGUGCCUCCUGCUUGCACCUGUACCUGGCCUGAUUCCCCUAAAGUACACAGGAGCCAGCAAUUCCACGUGAACUGUACCAUGCCAUACCCCAGCCCCUUCUCUCCUUUUUCCGGUUGAAGCCACCACCACAGCUGACCCAGUGCCCUUCCCUUCCAUAACGUAGCAGGGAAUGGAGAAACAUUGUUUUAGUACCUACUGUCCCCCCCAUGGCUUCUGUGAGAAGUUCCUUGGAUUUCCUUCCUUUCUCACCUACUAGGAAAGCAGCCAGGGAUCAUGUUAGUAAUGCUAAAGCCUGAAAGAAUUAAAUCUGGCCAGGGGCAUCAAGGGCAACAAGCAAAGCAACCUCCAUAGGUACACCGGUGAUAGAAGGAAGACUUGGGAGAAUGUGGACCCUCUAAGGAAGGAAAUGGGAGCCCCAGUUCCCUGGGACGUGGCGAGGGCUGAGGUGCUCAGCCAUGUUUCUGACUCAGCCUUCGUGGCAAGCUGCUCCAGCUGCCCUGCCCAAGUUGCAGGAGGCAAAGGCAGAGAGUGGGAGAACAAAGAAGUGCCCGCAGCAGGAGAGGACUGGGGUCGAGGAGGCUGAAGGGACCUGAAGAUGCACAAGUCCAUGGGACCUGACGAGAUGCACCCGCAGGUUCAGAGGGACUGGUGGAGGAAGUGGCUUGGCCACUAUCAUCCAUCAUGUUUGAGAAGUUGAGGCAGUCCAGAGGAGUUCCCACUGACUCUGAAAGGGGAAACAUAACCUUCUUUUCUUAGAAAGAGGAAUAAGGAAGAUCCAGAGAGCUACAGGUGGUCAGGUCUCACCUCAAUGCCUGGAAAGAGCUUGGAGCAGAUCCUCCUGGAAGCUAUGCUAAGGCACAUGGAAAAUAAGGAGGUGAUCGGUGAUAGCCAACAUGGCUUCACUAAGGGCAAAUCAUGAGAACUCGGAGCUCCUUCCAGCGCCUAAAGGUGCUACAAGAGAGCUGGAGAGGGACUCUGGACAAGGGCCUGGAGUGACAGGACAAGGGGGACUGACUUCCCACUGCCAGUGGAUAGGGUGAGAUGGGAUAUUGGGAAGGAAUUGUUCCCUGGGAGGGUGGGCAGGCCCUGGCACAGGGUGCCCAGAGCAGCUGGGGCUGCCCCUGGAUCCCUGGCAGUGCCCCAGGCCAGGCUGGACACUGGGGCUGGGUGCAGCCUGGGACAGUGGGAGGUGCCCCUGCCAUGGCAGGAGGAUUGGAACAGAUGAUAGUCUCUUCCAAAGCAAACCCUCUUGUGAUACUAAAGCCUUUUAUUAAAGCUCACCAGCAUCAGAGGGAGUCUGUACUGCUGAUGAAAGGGCUUAUAGGUGUGCUCCAAACAGGAGCCUCUUAAGCCAUAUAUCCAAUGGAAGCACUCUUUACAUAAAAUAUAAUUAAAUUAUAAAAGGUAACUGUGUGUGUGUAAUCUUCCUAAGGCACCCAAGAAUUUUAAAAGACCUUGUCCUGCUCACAUUACUUACAGCACACUCUUGUUCCUCUUCUGCCCAAAGUGACAACUGUUGGCUAGUCAGAAACCUUAGCAUACAAGAUGACAUAGCUGAACAGCGUAAAAAACAGGAACCAAAACCAAACCCCAGUGAAGCACUACAUCCAGACAGCUCGAGUCUGCUAGCAGUGCAUCACGGGCAACACAUGGAAAUUGUCACGUUGAUGCCGAGGUUUCCGUUGUCAGCGAAGAGGAGCGCAGUGGCUGUAUCAAAAAUGAGGCAGUUGCUGUUGCGGAUGGCCACGUGCACGCCGUCGUGGAUGGAGCAGGGAGACGCCUCCCAGGUCAGCCGGUGGCAGCUGCCGUGCAGCUCCAGUCUGUACUGAAAGUUCUCUGCCUGCUUACGGGUGCCAAUGAGCAGCACGGUGGCAAAAAACUGCUGGUGACCUUCGCACUUCUCCUGUUUCUUCAGCACCAGCAUGAAGUGGUGACCAAAGCACGACUGCAUCAUCACCCAGUCCACUGCCCCUGGCAGGUUAAUGUCUGUGGCAAGGAAAAUGAUGUCUUCUCCCUGAAGGGUGGUAAUGCUUUUGUGGGCAUGCAUGAGGUGGGACAUCACGGCUUCCAAGGAUCCCUCCCAGUCGCAGGAGGUACCGGGGCACGGGCAGGAGUAGGGACGGUACUCACAGAUGGCUUCAUGUUUUGGCUUUUCUGUGUGGUGGAGGGUCAGGGAGCAGCCUGUUGUGGCAUACUGGAAAGAGACCAAACACAAGCCAUCAGGAAAGGCACCAGCACUAGUAUGCACUGCUCCCACCCGUCAGCUGCAAACACAGGUGAUCAACCAGAGCUCUCGUGCUCAUUGCAAAUUUUACAUUACUUGUAUGGAGCCCUGGAUUCAAGCUGAGUUUUACUUAGUUUCUGUUUCCAUUUAAAAUGGAUUCUUCUUGUC
Long non-coding RNA from Haemorhous mexicanus (house finch), 4951 nucleotides. RefSeq lists it as uncharacterized. The transcript is spliced from 2 exons. NCBI's taxonomy places the organism in Eukaryota, Metazoa, Chordata, Aves, Passeriformes, Fringillidae. The record is from RefSeq and is a predicted model, not a curated record.